Molecule: small RNA, 505 nt
Filed under: Rattus norvegicus (Norway rat)
Lineage: Eukaryota; Metazoa; Chordata; Mammalia; Rodentia; Muridae
Description: uncharacterized LOC108351684
Source: RNAcentral
CCAGGUCAGACAUAGUCUAGUCAGACUCUGCUUAAUGAUGGUGUGAGAAUGGGAGCAGAUCUGAGAGAUAUUUUACAGAGGACAAGCAGCCACUGGUCAAAGAAUUUACAGGCAGCAUCUAAGAGCAGACAAUGGCAGAGAGAAGUACCAACCAACCACAGCUUCUAAAUGACUGAUGCCAUCAAAGAUCUAUUGCCAGAAUCCUGUACGAACGAAACUUUUCACUAGACAAGUGGUAUGGGUGAUUUCUCUGUGUGGCAGUUGUACCAACGGUUACAGUACCAUGGAGAGCUUAUGGGAUAGCUCAGUGGUCAUAUGCUACGCCUGACCUUGACCUGGGUUCACUCCCUGUAUCCUACUUAAUGCAAGAAGAAAACUAACUCUUGCAAAUUGUUCUCUCACCUUCACUGGUGGGUCAAGGUGCAGAAGAACACAUGGGGGUGUUCUUUGCCCCCCAACACACACUAUGUGCAUAAAUAAAAUCCAAUAAAAGCUUUUAAAAAGA